This 253-nucleotide ribosomal RNA is filed under the name uncultured bacterium. RNAcentral describes it as "partial 16S ribosomal RNA". It matches the Rfam family "Bacterial small subunit ribosomal RNA", at positions 524 to 776 of the family's 1533-position model. The record is from RNAcentral.
UACAGAGGUCCCGAGCGUUGUUCGGAUUCAUUGGGCGUAAAGGGCGCGCAGGCGGCCCUCCAAGUCAGGCGUGAAAGCCCCGGGCUCAACCCGGGAAUAGCGCUUGAGACUGGGGGGCUUGAGUUCGGGAGAGGAGAGUGGAAUUCCCAGUGUAGAGGUGAAAUUCGUAGAUAUUGGGAAGAACACCGGUGGCGAAGGCGGCUCUCUGGACCGACACUGACGCUGAGGCGCGAAAGCGUGGGGAGCAAACAGG